ACUGUGCUAAGGUAGCAUAAUCAAUUGGCUAUUAAUUGUAGUCUGGAAUGAAAGAAGUAAUGAAUAGUAGCUAUAAUAAUUAGUGUUUUUUUAAUUUGUUUAUCUGGUGAAAAUACCAGUAAUUUAGAAAAAAGACGAGAAGACCCUUAGAAUUUUUAAAGAAAAGUGUAUAACAUUUUUUUAAAUAGAAAAAAUAGAUUACAUCCUAAUUUUUUGUUGGGGCGACAAGAAAACAAAAACUUAAAAGAAACUUUUCUAAUUUUAUUAAAAAAAUUUAUGAUAAUUAUGUGACGAAAUUUUUAUGAAUAACUAAAUUACCUUAGGGAUAACAGCAUAAUGAUAAUUUUAUUUAGUUUGUGA
RNAcentral lists this ribosomal RNA (360 nucleotides) under Physella gyrina. RNAcentral describes it as "partial 16S ribosomal RNA". Lineage: Eukaryota; Metazoa; Mollusca; Gastropoda; Physidae. The record is from RNAcentral.